UUCUAAAUGUUAAACAAAUGGUCUAUAUGACAUCUAGUUCUUUCAAGGGACACAUGAACUCUUUCAUUAACGAGUUUACAAUUAUUAAAUACUUUGUCACGAAAUGCUGACCUCCUCUUGCACCUAGUAUCAUACAAGUUAGUUUGUGAUUUCCUAGUUAUAAUUGGAUUAUUAAGUGCAACACAGAUGGGUCAUCAAGAGGAAAUAUUGAAAUAUCAACUUGUUGUGGCAUAUUUAGGGAUAAUUUAGGAACAUUCUUGGGAACUUU
This 268-nucleotide long non-coding RNA is filed under the name Lathyrus oleraceus (garden pea). RNAcentral describes it as "Pisum sativum (pea) long non-coding RNA (PSAT_LNC023411)". Lineage: Eukaryota; Viridiplantae; Streptophyta; Magnoliopsida; Fabales; Fabaceae. The record is from RNAcentral.